RNAcentral lists this ribosomal RNA (596 nucleotides) under uncultured bacterium. Its description in RNAcentral is "bacterial SSU rRNA". It matches the Rfam family "Bacterial small subunit ribosomal RNA", at positions 47 to 644 of the family's 1533-position model. The record is from RNAcentral.
CCUAACACAUGCAAGUCGAACGGGAAGCGGUGCAUAUUGCUUCGGUGAUAAUGUGCCGUGGAGAGUGGCGAACGGGUGCGUAACACGUAGGUAACCUGCCCUGAAAGGGGGGAUAACCACGGGAAACUGUGGCUAAUACCGUAUAAUCUCGCCGUGGCGGUGGUUACGGUGAGGAAAGCUGAGGCGAUUUGGGAGGGGCCUGCGGUCGAUUAGCUGGUUGGUGGGGUAAAGGCCCACCAAGGCGAUGAUCGAUAGCUGUUCUGAGAGGAAGACCAGCCACACGGGAACUGAGACACGGUUCCGACUCCUACGGGGGGCAGCAGUGAGGAAUAUUGCGCAAUGGGGGGAACCCUGACGCAGCAACGCCGCGUGGAGGACGAAGGUUUUCGGAUUGUAAACUCCUUAACUGGGGGAAGAGAGAGGACGGUACCCCAGGACGAAGACACGGCUAACUAGGUGCCAGCAGCCGCGGUAAUACCUAGGUGUCGAGCGUUAUCCGGAAUUACUGGGCGUAAAGGGUGCGCAGGCGGUGUUACAAGUCCGGCGUGAAAGCUUCUGGCUUAACUGGGAGAGGACGUCGGAAACUGUAGUGCUAG